AGAAGGGAAUUUAUCACUGUAACUGGAUACAGGGAGAAGGCUGGAGAUAAUUCCAGCAGACCAACUCAAAGUGCUACAAUUUUCUUAGUGUUUAUAUAGGUUGGGGUUAUGUGCCUACAUGCAGUACAGCAAUCACCUAAGUCUACUGGUAACUAAUUUUGUUUCAAGGAGAAGGUCAGAGGCAAAAAAAAUGCUUGCUAAGUCCGAUUAAAAGGGGCCCAGUGCCUUCAAGGCCUGUCUACUGUGGUACCGGAGUGAUUAUUUCGAUUUUAUCUCCUUUACAGCUUGGUCCAGAGAGCUGCCUUAGACUAUCCAAUCAAUCUAUUCAAACAGCUGCCUGUUCCCCUAACUUGUCUUCAGAUUUUGUCGACCCGAGAUGGGUCCUGGCACUAGGAAUGUAAAACCGUUCCUAUUAUUUUGGCUUGCUCCAGCAAAAGAGAAGCCCAUGCAAGGCUCCUGCUGACCAUGUUUCAUUUCUAGCUUUGAUGUCUGGGCACUGAUUUCCCUAGAUUUAACUAUGUGCUCAAUGGUAAGGCAGUGCUGUGGAAAUCUGUCUGUGUAACUGGGGUGCUAUGCAGGCCUGUCUGGGUGACUGUCAGGGACAACUGUCCUACCACACCAAGGACACAGCCCUGGGGGUGCUUUUCUUCAUAGCCCAAAGAAGCUGCAGGAAACCCACCCUAGUGGGACAAAGACCAAUGCAGGGUCAGUCCCCACAGCCAGGUGAUGCAAACAGGCUGGACGUGGGCCGCCUCCCCUCCAGCUUGACUUGUGACAGGGAAACCAACGCAAGCAGCAGCAGCAGGGCCACCAGAGUCCUGUCCUGGGGACAGGCUUCCUUCCAGCGGGCGGGGAGUGGGUGCUCCUGCCAGACCAGCCUGGCUUCCACGGUUCCAGAGACCCUGUUCCCCCUCAGCCCAGUCCCCGCCCCCACUCCUUGGCUUUAUGAGUUCAUUGGCUGAAGUCACCCAGAGACAAUGCUGAGUGUUCCACCCCUGAGUGGAAGCCCAGCCCAGGGCAGCCCAGCCAGACGCCUCCGGUAGUGUAAAUGAGGACAAUGCCUGCUGGCCCACAUGACGGGGGGAUGUAGACGGCAGCGGCGCCAGUCGCUCCUGGCACCAUGGACGAUGCCACAGUCCUAAGGAAGAAGGGUUACAUCGUAGGCAUCAAUCUUGGCAAGGGUUCCUACGCAAAAGUCAAAUCUGCCUACUCUGAGCGCCUCAAGUUCAAUGUGGCUGUCAAGAUCAUCGACCGCAAGAAAACACCUACUGACUUUGUGGAGAGAUUCCUUCCUCGGGAGAUGGACAUCCUGGCAACUGUCAGCCACGGCUCCAUCGUCAAGACUUACGAGAUCUUUGAGACCUCUGACGGACGGAUCUACAUCAUCAUGGAGCUUGGCGUCCAGGGCGACCUCCUCGAGUUCAUCAAGUGCCGGGGAGCCCUGCAUGAGGACGUGGCACGCAAGAUGUUCCGACAGCUCUCCUCCGCCGUCAAGUACUGCCACGACCUGGACAUCGUCCACCGGGACCUCAAGUGCGAGAACCUUCUCCUCGACAAGGACUUCAACAUCAAGCUGUCUGACUUUGGCUUCUCCAAGCGCUGCCUGCGGGACAGCAAUGGGCGCAUCAUCCUCAGCAAGACCUUCUGCGGGUCGGCAGCAUAUGCAGCCCCCGAGGUGCUGCAGAGCAUCCCCUACCAGCCCAAGGUGUAUGACAUCUGGAGCCUGGGCGUGAUCCUGUACAUCAUGGUCUGCGGCUCCAUGCCCUAUGACGACUCCGACAUCAGGAAGAUGCUGCGUAUCCAGAAGGAGCACCGUGUGGACUUCCCGCGCUCCAAGAACCUGACCUGCGAGUGCAAGGACCUCAUCUACCGCAUGCUGCAGCCCGACGUCAGCCAGCGGCUCCACAUCGAUGAGAUCCUCAGCCACUCGUGGCUGCAGCCCCCCAAGCCCAAAGCCAUGUCUUCUGCCUCCUUCAAGAGGGAGGGGGAGGGCAAGUACCACGCUGAGUGCAAACUGGACACCAAGACAGGCUUGAGGCCCGACCACCGGCCCGACCACAAGCUUGGAGCCAAAACCCAGCACCGGCUGCUGGUGGUGCCCGAGAACGAGAACAGGAUGGAGGACAGGCUGGCCGAGACCUCCAGGGCCAAAGACCAUCACAUCUCCGGAGCUGAGGGCUGAUGAAAGCUCCCAGCAGGACCACACGCCUAAAGAUGCCUCUUAGGGAUGGGUCAAAGAGGACGUGGAGGAAAGAGAAGAUGGAGGGGGCCUCUCAUCCUGUCCAUGUGCGGCCAUGCUCUGGAUAGAGGAGCUGCCACAGUACCCACUGCAGAACCCCGCGGACCUGCCCUGGACUCUGCCACGUGGGCCAUGCCUCCACACGGUCAGGGCAGGGGCCGAACAGGAGCAGGCCAGAGCCACCCUCCCACUUCCCCACCAGCCAGGCGGCCCCUCACCUGGCCAGAUUCUCCGUCACUCUCCGCAAGGCUUCCUGCUUCUUGGCCCGGUUCUUGGCAGCGGCCUCGUUGGCCAUCUUCAGCCCCAGCCGCUCCCUGCGGCCUGGCUCCAGGAUCUACAAGGUAGCAGAAUUUCUCUUUUUACUGUUGGCCUGGAGACUCGGGAAGCAGCGGCAGGCAUACCUCAGAAGCACCUCAGCCCUUGCCUUGCGCUCUCACAUUGGACAGCACGGCAUCCUCUUCAUUAUCCCUCUUGCACGUUUGCCGUGGUUAUCCUUGUGUCCCAGACAAUUUAGAACCAAGGUAACCAGAACCUCUCCCCAUGUUUUGUCUGAACAUGGGUUACCUCUACUAAGUAUCCUGGGGAAAGGCCCGCAGUGGUAUGGGGAGGCCUGUUGUAUCUGACCCAGCCCACGAAGAGCCUCCCCUGGUCUGUGCCGGGCCUCACACACUCCACCCUGACCACUCCUACAACACCAGGCUUGAGCCGUGUAAUCCA
Pan troglodytes (chimpanzee) is the source of this 2956-nucleotide RNA transcript. It is a transcript of the gene named testis specific serine kinase 2, with no coding region annotated. NCBI's taxonomy places the organism in Eukaryota, Metazoa, Chordata, Mammalia, Primates, Hominidae. The record is from RefSeq and is a predicted model, not a curated record. The transcript is spliced from 3 exons.